UUGUUUAAUCUUUCCUUUUACCACGAGAACUUGUAGCCCAUUCUUUCCUCUUUUCAUUUCUCCUUUAUUCGAAGGCGCGCUGCUUUCCUACAGAGACACUUGACCGCUACCAGCUAGCUAUUGAUAUAUACUAUAGUCCCGCCGGACACGCAAAUCAUUCGUGUGUACUCCGUACACGCGCACCACCAAUCAAGCCGGAGAGACAAACUAGCUAUCUAGAUGCCCC
This 226-nucleotide long non-coding RNA is filed under the name Hordeum vulgare. RNAcentral describes it as "long non-coding RNA (HVUL_LNC010708)". The record is from RNAcentral. Lineage: Eukaryota; Viridiplantae; Streptophyta; Magnoliopsida; Poales; Poaceae.